CGUAACCCUCAACCUGGCAACCUCUAACCCUCAACCUGGCAACCUCUAACCCUUGACGAUCGGCUUCACCUCCGGCACCGAGCUAAGAGUUCUUCACGGGUCCACUUGGUUCGUACAGCAGCGUUGCCCAAUGGGUCCGGGGACAAGGAUCAUCAUCAUCAUCAUCAUCAUCAUCAUCAUCAUCAUCAUCAUCAUCAAUUACAUCAAUGCUGGGUUUUCCCGCCCUUUUGAGGUUUAACUAAAACGUAACUAAAGGCUUGAAGGCUAUGUUCCCCGCUUGGCGUCCUUUUUGUUAAGAAAAAGUUGACUAUAUCGAACGUUUGCAGUUAAAAAA
Long non-coding RNA from Perca fluviatilis (European perch), 334 nucleotides. RefSeq lists it as uncharacterized. The record is from RefSeq and is a predicted model, not a curated record. The transcript has 3 exons. Lineage: Eukaryota; Metazoa; Chordata; Actinopteri; Perciformes; Percidae.